CCUACGGGAGGCAGCAGUGGGGAAUAUUGCGCAAUGGGGGCAACCCUGACGCAGCAACGCCGCGUGAUUGAAGAAGGCCUUCGGGUUGUAAAGAUCUUUAAUCAGGGACGAAAAAUGACGGUACCUGAAGAAUAAGCUCCGGCUAAAUACGUGGCAGCAGCCGCGGUAAUACGUAGGGAGCCAGCGUUAUUCGGAUUUACUGGGUGUAAAGGGCGUGUAGGCGGGCCUGUAAGUCAGAAGUGAAAUCUGGGGGCUUAACCCCCAAACUGCAUUUGAAACUGGGGGUCUUGAGUGAUGGAGAGGCAGGCGGAAUUCCCAGUGUAGCGGUGAAAUGCGUAGAUAUUAGGAGGAACACCAGUGGCGAAGGCGGCCUGCUGGACAUGAACUGACGCUGAGGCGCGAAAGCGUGGGGAGCAAACAGGAUUAGAUACCCGGGUAGUC
This 441-nucleotide ribosomal RNA is filed under the name uncultured bacterium. Its description in RNAcentral is "partial 16S ribosomal RNA". It matches the Rfam family "Bacterial small subunit ribosomal RNA", at positions 338 to 795 of the family's 1533-position model. The record is from RNAcentral.